AGAGGGUGCAAGCKUUAAUCGGAAUUACUGGGCGUAAAGCGAGCGUAGGUGGCUUGAUAAGUCAGAUGUGAAAUCCCCGGGCUUAACCUGGGAACUGCAUCUGAAACUGUUAGGCUAGAGUAGGUGAGAGGGAAGUAGAAUUUCAGGUGUAGCGGUGAAAUGCGUAGAGAUCUGAAGGAAUACCGAUGGCGAAGGCAGCUUCCUGGCAUCAUACUGACACUGAGGCUCGAAAGCGUGGGUAGCAAACAGGAUUAGAUACCCUGGUAGUCCACGCCGUAAACGAUGUCUACUAGUCGUUGGGUCCCUUGAGGACUUAGUGACGCAGCUAACGCAAUAAGUAGCCCGCCUGGGGAGUACGGCCGCAAGGUUAAAACUCAAAUGAAUUGACGGGGGCCCGCACAAGCGGUGGAGCAUGUGGUUUAAUUCGAUGCAACGCGAAGAACCUUACCUGGUCUUGACAUAUCUAGAAUCCUGCAGAGAUGCGGGAGUGCCUUCGGGAAUUAGAAUACAGGUGCUGCAUGGCUGUCGUCAGCUCGUGUCGUGAGAUGUUGGGUUAAGUCCCGCAACGAGCGCAACCCUUGUCCUUAGUUACCAGCGGGUUAAGCCGGGAACUCUAAGGAUACUGCCAGUGACAAACUGGAGGAAGGCGGGGACGACGUCAAGUCAUCAUGGCCCUUACGACCAGGGCUACACACGUGCUACAAUGGUAGGUACAGAGGGCAGCUACACAGCGAUGUGAUGCGAAUCUCAAAAAGCCUAUCGUAGUCCAGAUUGGAGUCUGCAACUCGACUCCAUGAAGUAGGAAUCGCUAGUAAUCGCGGAUCAGAAUGCCGCGGUGAAUACGUUCCCGGGCCUU
This 856-nucleotide ribosomal RNA is filed under the name uncultured Gammaproteobacteria bacterium. RNAcentral's name for it is "bacterial SSU rRNA". It matches the Rfam family "Bacterial small subunit ribosomal RNA", at positions 527 to 1382 of the family's 1533-position model. The record is from RNAcentral. Lineage: Bacteria; Pseudomonadati; Pseudomonadota; Gammaproteobacteria.